GAUGAACGCUGACAGAAUGCUUAACACAUGCAAGUCAACUUGAAUUUGGGUUUUUAACUUAGGUUUGGGUGGCGGACGGGUGAGUAACGCGUAAAGAACUUGCCUCACAGCUAGGGACAACAUUUGGAAACGAAUGCUAAUACCUAAUAUUAUGAUAAUAGGGCAUCCUAUAAUUAUGAAAGCUAUAAGCGCUGUGAGAGAGCUUUGCGUCCCAUUAGCUAGUUGGAGAGGUAACGGCUCACCAAGGCGAUGAUGGGUAGCCGGCCUGAGAGGGUGAUCGGCCAAAAGGGGACUGAAACACGGCCCUUACCCCUACGGGAGGCAGCAGGGGGGAAUAUUGGACAAUGGACCGGGAGUUUGAUCCAGCAAUUCUGUGGGCAAAAUGAAGUUUUUCGGAAUUAAAAGUGUUUUCAGUUGGGAAGAAAAAAAGGACGGUACCAACAGAAGAAGGGACGGCUAAAUACGU
RNAcentral lists this ribosomal RNA (466 nucleotides) under uncultured bacterium. RNAcentral's name for it is "partial 16S ribosomal RNA". It matches the Rfam family "Bacterial small subunit ribosomal RNA", at positions 28 to 506 of the family's 1533-position model. The record is from RNAcentral.